AUCAAUACAAGUGUUCCGAAGUCAACGAGACGCACAGGUAUCCCGGACUAAAUCAAACAACAUUACUUGGAUCAAAGUGCAGUGUCCGAUACAGCGGAACAGUUCAGACUGCGGAUACUUUGUUUUGAGGUUUAUGAAAGAAAUCCUUCAAAUGAAUCAAUUAGAGAUUCCAAUCACGUACUUUGACGAAUUCCGUGUUGCUUCUUACCCGAAACUUAAGUUGGAAGAAAUCAAAGAGGAAUUGUGUCAAUUUUAUAUUCAUCAGCUAUUCAUGUAGUAAGAUUUGUGUCGAUUUGAAGAGAAU
This is a long non-coding RNA of Vicia villosa (hairy vetch), 304 nucleotides long. RefSeq lists it as uncharacterized. The transcript has 3 exons. The record is from RefSeq and is a predicted model, not a curated record. NCBI's taxonomy places the organism in Eukaryota, Viridiplantae, Streptophyta, Magnoliopsida, Fabales, Fabaceae.